RNAcentral lists this ribosomal RNA (468 nucleotides) under uncultured bacterium. Its description in RNAcentral is "SSU rRNA". It matches the Rfam family "Bacterial small subunit ribosomal RNA", at positions 26 to 518 of the family's 1533-position model. The record is from RNAcentral.
AGGACGAACGCUGGCGGCGUGCUUAACACAUGCAAGUCGAACGGAAAGGCCCUUCGGGGUACUCGAGUGGCGAACGGGUGAGUAACACGUGAGCAAUCUGCCCCUAGCUUUGGGAUAGCUCCGGGAAACCGGGAUUAAUACCAGAUAUUACUACGGCCGACAUCAGCUGUGGUGGAAAGAAUUUCGGCUAGGGAUGAGCUCGCGGCCUAUCAGCUUGUUGGUGGGUAAAGCCCACCAAGGCGACGACGGGUAGCCGGCCUGAGAGGGCGACCGGCCACACUGGGACUGAGACACGGCCCAGACUCCUACGGGAGGCAGCAGUGGGGAAUAUUGCGCAAUGGGCGAAAGCCUGACGCAGCGACGCCGCGUGCGGGAUGAAGGCCUUCGGUGUAACCGCUUUCAGCAGGGACGAAGCGAAGUGACGGUACCUGCAGAAGAAGCGCAGGCUAACUACGCGCCAGCAGCCGC